This 48-nucleotide non-coding RNA is filed under the name Trichobilharzia regenti. Lineage: Eukaryota; Metazoa; Platyhelminthes; Trematoda; Strigeidida; Schistosomatidae. The record is from RNAcentral.
GUACUUUUGAAGAGUCCCAAGCAAUAGGACGAAACCGCUGUCAAGUAC